CUACAUGAGGUUUGGCAUGCCUUUUUAUUUUGCCAAUGGACUUGGAGGCAGCUGUUGAAAACAAAUUAGUUGGAUUCUCUGUGAUUUUGUUUCUUUGCUGCCUCCACUCCUACCUCGCUUGUGCUGCAAACUCCAUAUCUGGUUUGAGCACUUCCUAAUGGCCUUUAACUUUUUCCUAUUAAAUUUUAUUUCAUAUUUUCCAGUUUAUAUGUGCUGUUGUAGUUAUGCUUCACGUGCUUCUUCCUUCGGAUGCUUUACUAAGGAAUAUGAAUCAAAUUGGAAUGCAGAAUCAUCCAUGGAAGGACAAACUAGG
Molecule: long non-coding RNA, 313 nt
Filed under: Daucus carota (carrot)
Lineage: Eukaryota; Viridiplantae; Streptophyta; Magnoliopsida; Apiales; Apiaceae
Description: long non-coding RNA (DCAR_LNC007451)
Source: RNAcentral